AGUGAACGCUGGCGGUAGGCCUAACACAUGCAAGUCGAACGGCAGCACAGUAAGAGCUUGCUCUUACGGGUGGCGAGUGGCGGACGGGUGAGGAAUACAUCGGAAUCUACUUUUUCGUGGGGGAUAACGUAGGGAAACUUACGCUAAUACCGCAUACGACCUACGGGUGAAAGCAGGGGAUCUUCGGGCCUUGCGCGAUUGAAUGAGCCGAUGUCGGAUUAGCUAGUUGGCGGGGUAAAGGCCCACCAAGGCGACGAUCCGUAGCUGGUCUGAGAGGAUGAUCAGCCACACUGGAACUGAGACACGGUCCAGACUCCUACGGGAGGCAGCAGUGGGGAAUAUUGGACAAUGGGCGCAAGCCUGAUCCAGCCAUACCGCGUGGGUGAAGAAGGCCUUCGGGUUGUAAAGCCCUUUUGUUGGGAAAGAAAAGCAGCAGGUUAAUACCCCGCUGUGCUGACGGUACCCAAAGAAUAAGCACCGGCUAACUUCGU
RNAcentral lists this ribosomal RNA (491 nucleotides) under uncultured bacterium. Its description in RNAcentral is "partial 16S ribosomal RNA". It matches the Rfam family "Bacterial small subunit ribosomal RNA", at positions 29 to 506 of the family's 1533-position model. The record is from RNAcentral.